Molecule: ribosomal RNA, 700 nt
Filed under: uncultured Candidatus Tremblayella sp.
Lineage: Bacteria; Pseudomonadati; Pseudomonadota; Betaproteobacteria
Description: bacterial SSU rRNA
Rfam family: Bacterial small subunit ribosomal RNA
Source: RNAcentral
UAGAAUUCCAGGAGUAGCGGUGAAAUGCGUAGAUAUCUGGAGGAAUACCAAAGGCGAAGGCAGUCCCCUGGUCCGAUACUGACACUGAGGUACGAAAGCGUGGGGAGCAAACAGGAUUAGAUACCCUGGUAGUCCACGCCCUAAACGAUGUCGAUUAGCCAUUGGAAGGACCCCUUUUCCUUUCAGUGACGUAGCUAACGCGUUAAAUCGACCGCCUGGGAAGUACGACCGCAAGGUUAAAACUCAAAGGAAUUGACGGGGACCUGAACAAGCGGUGAAUGAUGUGGAUUAAUUCGAUGCUACGCGAAGAACCUUACCUACCUUUGACAUGGCCAAAGUUCUACCGAGAGGCGGAAGUACUCGUAAGAGGAUUGGCGCACAGGUGCUGCAUGGUUGUCGUCAGUUCGUGUCGUGAGAUGUUGGGCUCAGUCCCGCAACGAACGCAACCCUUAUCUUUAAUUGCUCCUAUUUUAACAGGCACUUUAAAGAAACUGCCAAUGAUAAGUUGGAGGAAGGUGGGGAUCACGUCAAGUCCGCAUGGCCUUUAUAGGUAGGGCUUCACACGUCAUACAAUGGUUAGAACAAAGAGCUGCAAAUUCGUAAGAAGGAGCCAAUCUCACAAACCUAACCUCAGUUCGAAUUGCGGUCUGCAACUCGAGCGCAUGAAGCCGGAAUCGCUAGUAAUCGUGGAUCAGAAUGC